AAACUCUGGACAAAUAUCGAUUGCAUCUGCCAAAGUAAAAUUACCAAAUACCUACUCCAAACUUGGGAGUCCAUUAAGCUUAUCCAAAUUUUCUAUACCAGAUUUAAAUUACUCAUUUGAUAUGGUAGAAGAAUUACAACAAUUUUUUAUGAAACAACGUAGAUGUGACUAUUUCAGUCUUUUAAAUAAUUUUAUUAAUUUAACUAUUUUAGUUUCGAAUCUAUUGUCAGCAGAACCGGAUUUAGACAUAAGAAAUAAUCUAUUGAAACGGUUUAUUCAUUCAUUAAAUAGUUGGAUGAUUAUGCGUAGAUGUACAGUGGCAUCAUGUGAAAACAUUUUUUCUAUGACAGGUUUAUAUAUUCCACUAGAAUGUCUUUCAGCACAUCACAACCAAUUGAAUGAACAAGAAACUUAUACAAAUUAUAAUAAUUUACAAAUACUUUAUUUUAACUAUGAAGAAUGUAAAAUAUUUUUUUCAAAAAAAAGAGCUCCAUACUUAUUAAUGUUUGAAGUUGCUGAUUUGGAUGAAGAUAUAAGUUUUAUGUCUGAUACAUUUUUUUANNNNNNNNNNCUUCCACCUUGUUACAUUUUAAACUCUGGACAAAUAUCGAUUGCAUCUGCCAAAGUAAAAUUACCAAAUACCUACUCCAAACUUGGGAGUCCAUUAAGCUUAUCCAAAUUUUCUAUACCAGAUUUAAAUUACUCAUUUGAUAUGGUAGAAGAAUUACAACAAUUUUUUAUGAAACAACGUAGAUGUGACUAUUUCAGUCUUUUAAAUAAUUUUAUUAAUUUAACUAUUUUAGUUUCGAAUCUAUUGUCAGCAGAACCGGAUUUAGACAUAAGAAAUAAUCUAUUGAAACGGUUUAUUCAUUCAUUAAAUAGUUGGAUGAUUAUGCGUAGAUGUACAGUGGCAUCAUGUGAAAACAUUUUUUCUAUGACAGGUUUAUAUAUUCCACUAGAAUGUCUUUCAGCACAUCACAACCAAUUGAAUGAACAAGAAACUUAUACAAAUUAUAAUAAUUUACAAAUACUUUAUUUUAACUAUGAAGAAUGUAAAAUAUUUUUUUCAAAAAAAAGAGCUCCAUACUUAUUAAUGUUUGAAGUUGCUGAUUUGGAU
RNAcentral lists this long non-coding RNA (1117 nucleotides) under Piliocolobus tephrosceles (Ugandan red Colobus). RNAcentral's name for it is "lncRNA (ENSPTEG00000001849.1)". Lineage: Eukaryota; Metazoa; Chordata; Mammalia; Primates; Cercopithecidae. The record is from RNAcentral.